Molecule: ribosomal RNA, 674 nt
Filed under: Pantoea sp.
Lineage: Bacteria; Pseudomonadati; Pseudomonadota; Gammaproteobacteria; Enterobacterales; Erwiniaceae
Description: bacterial SSU rRNA
Rfam family: Bacterial small subunit ribosomal RNA
Source: RNAcentral
UACCCUGGUAGUCCACGCCGUAAACGAUGUCGACUUGGAGGUUGUGCCCUUGAGGCGUGGCUUCCGGAGCUAACGCGUUAAGUCGACCGCCUGGGGAGUACGGCCGCAAGGUUAAAACUCAAAUGAAUUGACGGGGGCCCGCACAAGCGGUGGAGCAUGUGGUUUAAUUCGAUGCAACGCGAAGAACCUUACCUGGCCUUGACAUCCAGAGAACUUAGCAGAGAUGCUUUGGUGCCUUCGGGAACUCUGAGACAGGUGCUGCAUGGCUGUCGUCAGCUCGUGUUGUGAAAUGUUGGGUUAAGUCCCGCAACGAGCGCAACCCUUAUCCUUUGUUGCCAGCGAUUCGGUCGGGAACUCAAAGGAGACUGCCGGUGAUAAACCGGAGGAAGGUGGGGAUGACGUCAAGUCAUCAUGGCCCUUACGGCCAGGGCUACACACGUGCUACAAUGGCGCAUACAAAGAGAAGCGACCUCGCGAGAGCAAGCGGACCUCAUAAAGUGCGUCGUAGUCCGGAUUGGAGUCUGCAACUCGACUCCAUGAAGUCGGAAUCGCUAGUAAUCGUAGAUCAGAAUGCUACGGUGAAUACGUUCCCGGGCCUUGUACACACCGCCCGUCACACCAUGGGAGUGGGUUGCAAAAGAAGUAGGUAGCUUAACCUUCGGGAGGGCGCUACC